UUAUAGAAAGGGACAACAUGAAACACACAACAUGUCUUAACGUGUUUCCCCACCAAUCCUCCACCAUCACCGCCACCACCACCUCCACCACCACCAUCAUCAUCACCCACUCUCUCUUUCUCUCUCUCUCUCUGUCUGUGAUACAUAAGCAGUCCAGUGACAGUUGAUUCCGUGAUGGGUAAAGUCCUUAUCUAAUGAAAGCUUAGCAAACCCAAUGAAAUCAUUCUAAAAAAGUAAUCACUAUAUAUACUUCUCCACAUAUAUUAUCAUAUCCCACCACCACUAUUACUGUACUUAUAAAAACCACACUACCUCUUCUUUUCUUUUCUUUUCUUUAAUGAUAGGGUUCAUAUUCAGUUCAACCAUGAAACCUGUUCAACGAUCACACUUCCACCAAUUAAAACCAAAGCUUAUCAAUAUUUUUUUCCCUUAUAUUAUUAUAAUUAUAAUUUUUUUUAUAAUUCUAUGUUCAAGUAUAAUUUGCACGUGAAUCCCCAAUAAUUUCUCAUGCAACAGUGGGUCCUUUAGCCAGCCCUUCCUCUUUUGUUCUCUUGCCAAAGUCCAACUCUCAAGAAUCUCCCCUUCUCUUCUCUUCUUUCUCUCCCACACAUACCCCAGAUUUUUUUCUUCUUCCUUCUUUCUUCUUUUUUUUUUUUCUUUUACAUUGAUACAUUUCAUAAUUUUCUUGAGCAAUAUCAACAAUGGUGGAAGAAAAACAAAAGCCUACUUUGCCACUGAGACACUAUUACUACACUCUUCUUUCUCUUCUUGUUUUUCUUCUUACUGUUGUUAAUGGCGGUGCUCAAUCUUUACAAGAAAAGAAAGUCCUCAGCCUGCAAGAAUAUCAAUGGCAACUGAAGAGUAAUACUGAUACUAAUUCAAGUUGUCUUUCCCAGAAAUCAAAACGGGAGAAGGGUGCAACCAUAUUGGAAAUGAAGCACAGAGAUUUCUGCAACUCAUCAGGAAAGAGCACUGAUUGGAACAAGAAGCUACAGAAAAGCUUGAUUCUUGAUGAUUUUCGUGUUCGGUCACUUCAAUCUAGAAUCAAAAGCAUUUUUUCUGGAAAUAACAUAGAUGCUCUUGAUAGUCAAAUUCCGUUAAGUUCUGGGGUGAGACUUCAAACAUUAAACUACAUAGUUACAGUUGAAAUAGGCGGUCGGAACAUGACAGUGAUUGUAGACACUGGAAGUGACUUAACAUGGGUUCAAUGCCAACCUUGUAGACUAUGUUAUAACCAACAAGACCCUCUUUUCAAUCCUUCAGGAUCCCCUUCGUACCAGACAAUUUUAUGUAAUUCUUCAACUUGUCAAUCUCUCCAAUAUGCAACUGGGAAUUUAGGAGUUUGUGGCAGCAAUACACCAACCUGUAAUUAUGUUGUUAACUAUGGUGAUGGGUCUUAUACUCGCGGCGAUUUAGGCAUGGAGCAGCUCAAUUUAGGAACCACUCAUGUCAGCAAUUUCAUUUUUGGCUGUGGCAGGAAUAAUAAAGGUCUCUUUGGAGGAGCUUCAGGUCUUAUGGGAUUGGGGAGGAGUGAUCUUUCAUUGGUCUCUCAAACUUCUGCAAUUUUUGAAGGUGUUUUCUCAUAUUGUUUACCAACUACAGCAGCUGAUGCUUCAGGUUCAUUAAUCCUGGGUGGUAAUUCUUCAGUUUACAAGAACACAACUCCCAUCUCCUACACUAGAAUGAUUGCGAAUCCUCAAUUACCAACAUUCUACUUUCUCAACCUAACCGGUAUUAGUAUUGGUGGAGUAGCUUUACAAGCCCCGAACUACAGACAAAGCGGAAUUCUGAUUGAUUCAGGGACAGUUAUUACCAGGCUCCCUCCUCCUGUUUACAGAGAUCUGAAAGCAGAGUUUCUGAAACAAUUUUCUGGGUUUCCUUCUGCUCCACCUUUCUCAAUCUUAGAUACUUGCUUUAACCUUAACGGCUAUGAUGAAGUUGAUAUUCCUACAAUAAGGAUGCAGUUUGAGGGAAACGCUGAACUGACUGUGGAUGUAACUGGGAUUUUCUAUUUUGUAAAGACUGAUGCAUCUCAGGUCUGUUUGGCUCUUGCCAGUCUCUCUUUUGAUGACGAGAUACCUAUAAUAGGAAAUUAUCAGCAGAGAAACCAAAGGGUUAUCUAUAAUACUAAGGAGUCCAAGCUAGGAUUUGCAGCAGAAGCUUGCAGUUUCAACUGAGAAUAUGAUUCAGAUAGUAUUAGGUGUUGGGUUUGUGAAUAUAUUUUCUUCAAUGCAGUAGCCAAUUUCUUCUGUUGGCAAAGAAAUGAUAGACAUGUAUUUUGUAUCUCAUUGGAAAGAUGAUCAGAUCAAGAGUUCAUGGAAUUUUUCAGUCUUUCAAGAGACUUCAAAUCAAGCACAAUAUUCUGUCAGCUGUACUGCGUAAAAAUGAAAACAGACAGAAAUAUUUUUGUACAAGGAAUCU
Molecule: RNA transcript, 2421 nt
Organism: Ricinus communis (castor bean)
Lineage: Eukaryota; Viridiplantae; Streptophyta; Magnoliopsida; Malpighiales; Euphorbiaceae
Gene name: aspartyl protease family protein At5g10770
Exons: 3
Source: RefSeq, a predicted model, not a curated record